CGUCAUCGUCAUCGUUGUCGUUGUCGUUGUCGUCAUCGUCGUCGUUGUUAUUGUUGUAGUCGACGUUUAUCGGUGUGUCAAAUGUGAUACUAUGGUGUGUGAACAAAUAAUUGUUUUUAAAGGAUAAUAUAAUAUUUAUACAAAUCUACAUAGAGAAAUAUUAAGAGAGGAACAACAAAAAGAAGAAAAUUAUUUUAUUUAAACUGAAUUAUUUUACAACAUAGUUUAGUCAUCCUUAUCGUCGUCGUCGUGGUUGUUGUUGUUAAUCGUUAAAAUACAAUCUCAGCUAAGUAAAGGAGAAGUAUCGUGAAGCUGGAGACUCCUAUUGGUCGAGACGAAGUAGUAGAAGAAGAAGAAGAAGAAGAAGAAGAAGACGACGACGAAGAGAAGGAGAAGAAGAAGAAGGAGAAAGAAGAAGAAGAAGAAGAAGAAGCAAAGGAGAAGGCACGGUCGAAGGCAAAACGGACGAUCCAAAAGGCAUUCCUUAGCAAGCUACUAAGAACACUAUUACGAGGUGUAAAAGUGCGUGCCGGCAAUAUUAUUUUUAUUCAUAUUAUUCCUAUUCUUACGGACUCGACGAUAUAUUUCAACUACGAUCAAAUUGUACUUCCAACGGUGCUGUUAGCUUCGUUUUUGGGUCAGGUCAUGGUAAGGUUUAUCAUGGAACAUACUCGAUUGCGAGUACGACUAAGCGACACUAAAAAUCGAGGGUCAAUUCCCGCUGCGUCGCUUCUCCACGGGUACAUACAUACACAAGAAAACACACCAAGGCAACGGAGUAUAAUACACAACAGACAACGUGCACAAAAACACAUGUAUGCACGGUGCAUAUAUACUUGCAUCCGAGGAUUUUCUCUGGCAUGGCAAACCCACCGAACGUUCACCAACAUGCUCGCGCGGCCUACCUACCUACCUACAUACAUAUAUACUAACACAUAUAUAUAUAAAUGCAUACAGAUGCACAUGCAUACGCACAAUACGUACGAACGGAAGAAAUAUACACAGGUAAAGAGAGAGAGAGAGAAAA
RNAcentral lists this long non-coding RNA (1027 nucleotides) under Polistes fuscatus (common paper wasp). RNAcentral's name for it is "uncharacterized LOC122525390". Lineage: Eukaryota; Metazoa; Arthropoda; Insecta; Hymenoptera; Vespidae. The record is from RNAcentral.